RNAcentral lists this ribosomal RNA (322 nucleotides) under uncultured eukaryote. Its description in RNAcentral is "partial 18S ribosomal RNA". It matches the Rfam family "Eukaryotic small subunit ribosomal RNA", at positions 1470 to 1796 of the family's 1831-position model. The record is from RNAcentral.
CCCUUAGAUGUUCUGGGCCGCACGCGCGCUACACUGAUGCAUUCAACGAGUGUACCUUGGCCGAGAGGCCUGGGCAAUCUUUUGAACGUGCAUCGUGAUAGGGAUAGAUUAUUGCAAUUAUUAAUCUUGAACGAGGAAUUCCUAGUAAACGCAGUUCAUCAAACUGCAUUGAUUACGUCCCUGCCCUUUGUACACACCGCUCGUCGCACCUACCGAUUGGAUGGUCCGGUGAAGCCUCGGGAUUGUGGCGGUUGCCUUUAUUGGUGGCCGCCGCGAGAACUUGUCUAAACCUUAUCAUCUAGAGGAAGGUGAAGUCGUAACA